UCGUCGGUCGCCGUCGCUUUCUCAGUGGUGGGGCGUGUCGCUGUGCUUCGCUACGCGGAAAGUCUGUGUGUGGAUGGGCUGAGACCCGUGCCUGGCCUGAGACUCGGGCCGGGUCGUCCCCGCGCCCUGCGGCUCUGCAGUCCGCUGGGCACAGGCCUGAGGACAGCUUGUCCCGCCACCGUGGGCGCCUGUGGCCCUGGCUGCAGCGUGAGCGUUCCCAGCCUUCGACUGGCAACCUGGCAGGAGACGAAUAGCAAGGAAAAAGGCCUGGAAAUUAAGCCGGCCCAAGAAGAGGAGCACAUCUGGUGGUCAGGCAAGGCUGGUAGCCUCGGGGAUCGCGGAACGCGCAAGUUCUCCGGGUGUGGGGCGGAGCUGCUAAGAACGUCAGCCCUGGUGUGCAAGAAAUACGUCUCUUAAUUUUCUGGACCUCAGUUCAUUGCUAACUCUUCUGAGCCACAAGCAACUCACCCUUCCCCGCCCCCAUCUGAUGGACUGGUUAAAAAAUAAAGAUUACCCCAGUUCUUUUUGGGUUCCCAUUCCCAGGGUUUAGGCCAAAUUCUGGAAGCUUAUUCAGUGACUUGGUGGGUAAAUUCAUGGUUAAGUAAUUUACCAGGGUGCCAUUGCUAUUAAGUCAGGAUUCAAACCCAGAUCACUCGGACUCCACAGGCUGUUCUCUCAACCAAGAUACUAGAUCUGUCUCUGAAACGUUUAGCCUCAGCCCUGUUUGAAACCAGCUUGGACCACAGUGCCCUGAAGUAUAAAGCACACUGGGCUAGGGGUCAAAAAACAGGGCUAGAAGUCAGCAGGUGACCUAAAACGAGACUCUCCAGGUCUCUGGACUUGAGUUUCCUCUGGAUGAAAUGGGGUUAAUGGCCCAGGGCUAGGGAUUCUGACUGGUCAUUUGCAGGCCACCAUCCAGCCCAUCAUAAUGGUGUUUCCUGGCUGACAGAGACUUUCAAGCAUAGAUGUCACAGCUCCAAGAUGAAGAGGCCUCGUCCUCGCUGGUGUGAAGUUAGAUUCUACGGGAGUGAACUGGUUGGUGUGCAAGGACUGAUGAGAAAUGCUGAUGGUGCAAGGGAGGCGAUUAUGACAUUAAUAGCCCCCACAUCCACUACCUCUCCACCUCCCUUCAAACAAACAUAGACAAGAACUCAAAUUGUGCCACACAGGAAGGUGAGCUGGCCCUUGAGAUGAGCAAAUCUGUAGUCAAAAUGCUACUGAUGACUUUCAGAUCACAUGACACAUGGCUGAGUAGCUACUCCUGGAAUUGUCAACAGUCCAGCUGAAUUGACAUUUUACUUUCCAAAACAAAUGCAGCCAAAAAAGAGCAGCCCUUCCGGCCACUGCUGAAGGCGCGGCUGCCAGCUUCCUAGAAACCCGAGGCAGGUGACGCCCACAAGUGCAGGCUAGGGGGAGUUUUGAGUGAAGUCUGCGGCUAUUCUCUCCCUCUCUUUGGAGCCCUUAGUUGGCAAGUCAGAGCAGAUUCCUGAAGAGUGCUCCGGUGGUAUGCAGACUGAUUUGCAGACUCAAGGGCCUGCCCUCCCCUGAGGUAGGAGGGAGUUUUCUUAAAUUUAAGAUGUAAUCAAAAUGGCUCCUAUUGUAACAGAACCUUGGGUGGAAACAGGCAGCCUGGCUCAGUCACUCAGAAUCAGACAACAGGCUCGGCUUGGGCAUAAUAUCAAUGGCUGCGUUGUUUAUGUAUCUGUAUGUUCAUGUGCAAUUUUACAUCUGCUGCCAAACAGGAGACAGAGGUUUUAUACUGCUUCAAUUUGGACAUUUUCACCGAAAACUCUGAAACUUUCAGAAGGGAAAUUGUUUCCAUUUAAAGCCAAUUUGCCCCAAUCUUGCCGAACCCCUGCCUCUUUUCACUUCUGGGCUCCUUUUAUAGACUCCAGGGAGUAGGAAGUCAUUUAGCUCAUCCCCAGGAUUCUGGGCUGGUGGAACUUUAGGCUGAGUUCCAGACAGGUCACGUUCAUCUGUUCCCAUCGUUAAGCUUUUGGAGAUAGGGAUUUCACUCUUGCCUUGAUAAACCACCUCUGUGUUUAAUAACCCUCCCUUUGGAACUGUUUUCCUGGUUCUAAUCCAAUCCCUUCUGCAAUAAUUUAGCAUUAUGAAAUCUUAGAUCUGGAAAAUAACCUUAAAGUUCAUUGUAUUAAUUUUCCCACAAACUUGAUGGGUUAAACACAUAAAUUUAUCAUCUUACAAAUUCUGUACAUUACAAUUCCAACAGAAGUCAAAAAUUCAACAAGUCAAAAAAAUCAAAGUGACAGCAGGGCUGGAUUCCUUUCUCGAGGCUAUGGGAGGAGAUCUUCUCUUGUCUUCAACUUUGUAGAGGCUAAUGGUUAAUGUAGAGGCCCCCUGGUUUGUGGGCCCUUCCUCCUUCUUCAAAGCCAGCACCGUCGCACCUCUCUGACUCUGACCUCAGCUGGGAAAGGUUCUCUGAGUUUAAGGACACAUGAUUAGAUUGCCACUCCUCCCGACAAUUCAGGAUCAUCUCCCCGUUUUCGGGUCCUUAUCUUAAUCACGUCUCCGGAGUCCCUUUUGCCAUAUCAGGUAAUGUUCACAGGUUCCAGGGAUCAGGACAUGGACAUCUUUGCGAGGCUGUUAUUCUGCCUACCACAGUCACCUCUUCUGACUCUUUGCCUUUUAAAAGAGGGAGUCCCCUGACAGGUGCUCCUCUAACAGUAUUUCCACUGGUGGAGAUGUCACUAUUUCACAAGGCUGCCAAGGGUAAUGUUGACCAACUCUAAAUGUCAGAAAAUUCUUAUGUUCAGUCCCAGUACUUCCCAUACAUAGGUACUGUCUUAAGACGCACAGUAGAAAACCCAAGCUGGUAACCCCACCUGCACAGCCACCACAUGAAGUUCUUAAAAUGUUUGAAGACAACUAGAAGAUUGCCCUUUCAUUCAUUAGUGAAACAAAUUGAGCACCUAUCAUAUGUGGGUGCUAUUCUAGGCUUCAGAGAUACAGUGAUUAAUCAGCCACCCCAAGUCCCUAAUCUCAUAAUGCAUUCUUUCUAGUGAAGGAAGCAGGUGGAUGAGCCAGUAGGCAGCCUUAGCAUUGUCUUAAGUAUCAUCAAAUCAAGGGUACCAAAAGAAUUUUGGAAAGAGUUUGAUAUCUCUUAAAAAUUCAUCUAAAUAACAAUUACCGGGGGGGGGGGGGGGAACUCAUUGGAUUUUGGACACAUAUUUUAUGUUUUAGAAUUGUUUUUAUUUUGAGUUAUAAUGGAGGAGCACCAAAACAUUUUCAGAGCCACAGUCCUCUGAAGAUCCUGUCCUAGCCUUGAGAACAGUUUGUAAUAGAGCAAGCAAAGACGGCUUCCUGGGAAAAGCAGAGCCUUCCAAGAUGAGUAGACUUAGAUAAAUAAAGGCUAGAGGGGAGUACAUUCUAUAAAUUCCUGCCGACACCACAGCAGCCGGAUGAGAGGGAGAAUGCGGCGGAUAAGCCUUGCAUUUUGGGGGUAGGGCUGUGGGGAGGGCGUAAUCUGGGUGUUUCACUCUAGUUGUUACAUGGAAGUCUUCUCAAAGGCUCAGAGAAGACUAGGAAUCAGCCGCAAUGGGGUAGCUCGGUGCCGGCAGCUCCCCAUGCUGUCUGCAAAGGUCUGGUAAAGCAAGAAAGGCCCGAAAGGCAGAUGUUGAGGAUAAGCAAGGCGCUUAGAAGGUGGAAGUGCCCAGUCAGAGGCCAGCUUCUCAAAGGGACGGCAGCCCAAUAGCUAGGAGCAGGGAGGUCUGACCCUGGAGUGCUCCAAAGGAAGGUCUCAAGCUCACAGGCAGCCUCUUCAGAAAUAAGGAGAAGGUGUUCGGGGCACAAGAGCCACUCCAUGCAGCGUCCAUCUCUACAGCUACAAAACCCGGAGCUAAACACCAUUUAGACUGCUGUCACUGAGUUUGCCUGCGUCACUCACAGAGCCCCAGGCUGUGGCAACCUGUAAGAAAAUCUGGAUGAUGCUUCAGCAGGUUCUGGAGAACUCUGACCACCCCCUUCUUUUACUGCCUAUGUCAACUCAGGGGACUUGGGCAUGACUAGUAGCAGAGAUCAGUGGUUCCACGCCCGUAUGGCAAGAGGUUGGUUAUGGAUUAUUUGCGUUGACAGCAGGCAAAAGAAGAGGAGUCAAGGAUGAUGUGCAUGUAGACUCUACAAUGGCCCCAAUUAUCUCUGCCUCCUGUUCAUCACAGAUAACUCAACAAAAGAAUGUUUAAAUACUCAGCUCUACUACAAUGCAAUAUUUGAAUAGAUCCACCACUUCAGCCAGUGUUUGCUAUACUGGCCCCUAAAACAGGCUGCCGACAGAUGGGACAAG
Molecule: long non-coding RNA, 4300 nt
Organism: Equus quagga
Lineage: Eukaryota; Metazoa; Chordata; Mammalia; Perissodactyla; Equidae
Exons: 4
Source: RefSeq, a predicted model, not a curated record